AGAGUUUGAUUAUGGCUCAGAACGAACGCUGGCGGCAUGCCUAAGACAUGCAAGUCGAACGAAGUCUUCGGACUUAGUGGCGCACGGGUGAGUAACAUGUGGGAAUCUACCUAAAGGUUCGGAAUAACUGCGGGAAACUGUAGCUAAUACCGGAUGUGUCCGCAAGGAGAAAGAUUUAUUGCCUUUAGAUGAGCCCGCACUAGAUUAGUUUGUUGGUGAGGUAACUGCUCCACCAAGACUACGAUCUAUAGCUGAUUUGAGAGGAUGAUCAGCCACACUGGGACUGAGACACGGCCCAGACUCCUACGGGAGGCAGCAGUCGGGAAUAUUGGACAAUGGGGGAAACCCUGAUCCAGCAAUGCCGCGUGAGUGAAGAAGGCCUUCGGGUUGUAAAACUCUUUCAUCAAUGAAGAUAAUGACAUUAAUUGAAGAAGAAGCUCCGGCUAACUCCGUGCCAGCAGCCGCGGUAAUACGGAGGGGGCUAGCGUUGUUCGGAAUUACUGGGCGUAAAGCGUAUGUAGGCGGAUCAAAAAGUUAGAUGUGAAAUCCCUGGGCUUAACCUAGGAACUGCAUUUAAAACUAGUGAUCUAGAAUUUGGUAAGGGUUAGUAGAAUUUCCAGUGUAGAGGUGAAAUUCGUAGAUAUUGGAAAGAAUACCAGUGGCGAAGGCGACUAACUGGGCCAUUUUUGACGCUGAGAUACGAAAGCGUGGGUAGCAAACAGGAUUAGAUACCCUGGUAGUCCACGCAGUAAACGAUGAGUGCUAGUCGCUGGGUCAAUAGAUUCGGUGUCGAAGCUAACGCAUUAAGCACUCCGCCUGGGAAGUACGGUCGCAAGA
Molecule: ribosomal RNA, 837 nt
Filed under: marine metagenome
Description: bacterial SSU rRNA
Rfam family: Bacterial small subunit ribosomal RNA
Source: RNAcentral